ACGAACGCUGGCGGCAUGCCUAACCCAUGCAAGUCGAACGAGACCUUCGGGUCUAGUGGCGCACGGGUGCGUAACGCGUGGGAACCUGCCCUUAGGUUCGGAAUAACUCCCCGAAAGGGGUGCUAAUACCGGAUAAUGUCUUCGGACCAAAGAUUUAUCGCCUUUGGAUGGGCCCGCGUUGGAUUAGCUAGUUGGUAGGGUAAAAGCCUACCAAGGCGACGAUCCAUAGCUGGUCUGAGAGGAUGAUCAGCCACACUGGGACUGAGACACGGCCCAGACUCCUACGGGAGGCAGCAGUGGGGAAUAUUGGAAAAUGGGCGAAAGCCUGAUCCAGCAAUGCCGCGUGAGUGAUGAAGGCCUUAGGGUUGUAAAGCUCUUUUACCCGGGAUGAUAAUGACAGUACCGGGAGAAUAAGCUCCGGCUAACUCCGUG
Molecule: ribosomal RNA, 432 nt
Filed under: uncultured bacterium
Lineage: Bacteria
Description: partial 16S ribosomal RNA
Rfam family: Bacterial small subunit ribosomal RNA
Source: RNAcentral